Molecule: long non-coding RNA, 742 nt
Organism: Melopsittacus undulatus (budgerigar)
Lineage: Eukaryota; Metazoa; Chordata; Aves; Psittaciformes; Psittaculidae
Exons: 3
Source: RefSeq, a predicted model, not a curated record
GGGAUAGAACGGAUCGAGGCGAGGAGAGACAAGAUGGCGGCUGUUCCGGAGAGGAGGAGACUGAGAAGCAGCAGGCGAGGCGGCGUGUGCCCUGUUUAUAGUAGCACUGCAGUAGCACCGAGACCCUUCGGCACAAAUGAGUGAGAGCGGAUGGUGCCCUGCUGCACUGCACCAAGUGCUGACUGGGCCACGGAAACUGGUAUGCAGGCAGCUUUAAGAGGUAAUGGGAUAUGUCACACCAAUGGUAAACUGAGACUAAGGAUCAGCCCUUGAAGCGGCACUGUACUUGAAGUGGUACUGUGAGGAAGCCACAGUACUGAAAGCCAUCAGUGCUUGACUGCACAAGACCAUGCCUCUCACAGAAGGCAAAUGAUGUUUUAUUUCAAAAGCUUUAUGAAAUGUAAAUUCAGUUACAUCCUUUCGAGUUUCUUCUUUGCAGGGCAACAAUAAAACAAUGAUGGACUUUUCUUAGAACUGUUGUUUGAAUAACUGGGGAGAGGGCAAGCUAAGGUUCCUACUAAUGUAUGUUCAGGAUGUACUGCUCUCCCUUGAAACCAAAAUUUGUUCUUUGAUCUGCUCUGAAGACUACAGAAGUCAAAGUGGUGGAUGGGGCAAAAAGCUUUUUUUCAGCUAGAAAUAAAUAGAUAACUUCUGAAAACAUGAAGCUGUCAAUAUAAAGGAAUGCAACAGCAAAGUAAGCCAAAAAUUCCAUACCUGUUACUAAAAAAAAAAAACAACCAAC